This 3637-nucleotide long non-coding RNA is filed under the name Gossypium raimondii (Peruvian cotton). RNAcentral describes it as "long non-coding RNA (GRAI_LNC000649)". The record is from RNAcentral. Lineage: Eukaryota; Viridiplantae; Streptophyta; Magnoliopsida; Malvales; Malvaceae.
UUUUUUUAUUUUACAAUUAACCUUAAAAAUUGACAUGUAUUUUUUUAAAAUAUAUAUUUUUUAAUAAUUUAUUAUACUCUAUAGGACACUUAUCAAUCUCUUAACCCUACUUAUGGAGUUUAAAAACUCCAAUAACAAUGUACCAAAUAUUUUCUUAUAAAUUUAUGUUUUAUUAGUGAAAUAAACGAUUACAGGUAUUGUAUUUUUUUUUAAAUUAAUAAUUUUGAUGCACUGGUGGUGGAAACUUUUAACUCUACAACUGGAUUAAGAUUUUGUCAUGUUUCCUUAAGUUGUAUUUAAAAUUUUUUAAAAUAAAUAAAUAUGACAUGUGGCAAAAUCUUAACCGCACUUAUGGAGUUAAAAAUUUACAUCACAUGUGCGCCAAAUAAUUACUCAUAAUAUAUUAUCAUGUAAUUUAUGGGUUAAUAUUUGGUAAACUCAAAGUGUUAUGUUUUUUUUAAUAUUUUAUUAAACAUUUCUAUAUGACACUUGUCAACCCAUUGGCCUUACUUGUGGAGUGUAAAAACUUAACUAUUAGUGUACCAAAUAUUUUCCCGUAAUUUAUUGAUAGUGUAUAAAAUUAUACAAUAUUAUUAUAUUAAGGGAUAGUAUUUAAUACAAUUUAUUGAUAGUGUACUUUUUUUUAUUCCUCAAGUAGCUUUAAAAAAUUGACAUAUGUCCCUUUUUUAAUAUUUUACUAUAACCAUGAAGGACAUUUGUCAACUCUCUGACUUUACUCAUGGGGUCUAAAAACUUUAUUAAUUGUGUACCAAAUUAUUUUCAUUAUAUUAAAUAUAACCCUUACCUAAAUAAUAUAAACAAUGGGUGAAUAUGAUAUCCAUUCAAAUUGCAUUAAUAGCUCGCAACAUAUUCGAAAUUUAAAUAUGAGUAUUGUGUUGUUUUAUUUCCCAAAAAAACAGGCGAAUAUUGGGACGUACACGUAUGAUACUAAAAAUAUUGGGUGAAUGAUAGUAUUUCUUUUUCUUUUUCUUUUUUUUUUUUGAGAAAAAAUGGCAAUAUUUAAAAGAGAGACAAAUUGUAUAAAUUAGAUUUUAUUAAGUGCUUAUUUGGUCCUCUAAUUUUAUAUAAAAAAUUAUUUUAACUCUUCAUUUGUUUUUUUUACUUUUUGUAGUCCUUAAAGUUUUUUUUGUCGUCCUUAAACCAAGUUGGUUUGUUUACUUUUGUUUUUUCGUUAAAAAUAUCGCUUUACCUUAAAAAAAUAUUAUGAUUAAACUAAAUACUAAUUAAAAAAGGUAAGGCAUACUGGCAACUUUAGCCCAUAGAUCUUUCAUUUAUUUGUCAAUUUAGUCCUUUUUUUAAUUAAAUUUGACCCUCAAUUUUUUAAAAAGAAUCAAAUUUAAUCAUUAAUCUUUUAAAAAGAAUUGAAUUGAUUUUUUAAUAGAAAUACUAACUAACAUGUUAAAUUUUUAAACAUUGCAGCCCACAUUGCAAUCUAAAUGUACAUCAUGCUAUUUUUUGAAUUUUUAUGAAGCUUUUAUCCUCUCUUUUUUUCUUGAAUAUUUUUGUAACUUUUAAAAUAUUUGUUGACAUGUAUAUAUGACAAACAGUUUCAUGUCAAAAAAGGUGCACGUAGACUACCACACAAGUUGACACAUCAAAAUCAUUAAAGAAUAUUUUAAUCAACAUUUUUAUUAAAAAACAACAUUUAAUUCUUUUUUGAAAGAUUAACAGCUAAAUUUAACUUAAAAUAAUAAUAAUAAUAAUAAUAAUAAUAAUAAUAAUUAAAGUGGAAAAAAACUGUAAAACUAAAUUUAUCACUAUCCCGAAAGUUAAUGCUACAAACUAUCAUACACUCAUCCUUAUUAUUUUUGGAUUUAAAUAGAAGUGCAUCAAUAAACCGAGAUAUUAUUUUGUAGAUUAUUCCUACCACGUCAAUCAUGAUUGAUAUUCAAUAGUCAUGUAAAAAUAUUUUUCCACAUCAACUUCCUCCUUGGCCUAUUACUUUCUUCUUCUUCUUUUUUCUCUUCCUACCUGCAACCUUUGUUCCCCACAUUCUUUUCUUGCGAAGCCAAAACAACUACGAAACAAGUGACGAAGAAGAGUUUGAAGAAGAAGAAAAUGGGUAGGAUGGAGACCCCAUGGCUACCACGCCACUUAUAAGACCCAAGUCGAGAUCUGGUAAUUGGACGUCGAACGACAAUAAUCACUUAACCAGCUCCUUUUUUCACAUUGCUCAUUUGGGGUUUUUUAGUUUUAAAAUUUGUUAAGUAACUAAAUCUUUUGAAUCUGUUGAUUUUGGGAUUUUCUAUUUCUUUUAUGAACAGAUUUAGAGAAUCAAAUGGAGGGAAAUGUUUAUUCCAACAUUAAAAAAUUACUAUUUUUUAAAUAAGAAAAUAUUGCUACUAUUCUUGAAAUUGUAUUUGAAUGUUUGAUUAUUAUGUUCUCUUGUUUGUCCAAAAGGGGAUUUUUAUUUUAUGAAUGCCGUUGAUUAAAACUGUAGGAGAAAGUAACGAUCCGAUUACUUUAGCCAUGUUAGAUGAAGAAAAUAUAUGCUUAAAUGCUUUUUUCAUCAUUUAAAAUCUGGGUAGGCAAGAAGGAAGGUGAGUAAGCCGGCAAUAUAUUUUAGUGAUGUGUAAAAAUAUUCUUACACGGUAAUUCAUUAUUAAUGGUCUAUAUAAUAAUUAUUAAGGAGUUGGAAUGGAUUUUUUUUUAUACCUACAAACGUAAAUAAACCAAGAAAAAAAGUGCGCAUUGCAUGCUUGUAUAUUUCAACAAAAAAAUUAUAUUAUAUCUCCAACAUUAAGCAAGUUCUUCUUCACCUCACAUUUGUUCACCCAUAAUGGGAACAUCGGUGUAUCUUUUAUUGAUAACUGUGAUCCAACCAAAAGAAAAAGUAGGAGAUUGAUAUAUUAGUAGAAUAAGACGUAGCGACAUAUAUGCAUCAUAGUUGAAAGGGAUACAGGGAAACCAUACGUAUAACAAAAAGCAAAGAAACAGAUAAGAGUCCACAAAAGUAGCAACCUUUACGAUUCGAAUAAUGAAUAGGGCGUUUAUUGUCAUAGAUAGGUUGAUAAACAUCAACCUAUCUACAGUAAGGGCUAUUACCCUUACAAUUUUUGUUAUGAUUAUCUGGGUUUGGUGGUGGAAGACAAUUCGAAUAACUAGGACCGCAGUCCUUUUGCUUUACCGCUGGCUUAUCCUUUGUAAGCGUGCUGUAUAUUUUACCGACAGUUUUAUCGACCCCGAGGAUUCUGAUAACGGUAGAAUCUAUCAUCAACAAAUCCAGCUCCGACUCCAAUUCUUCCCGGAUCCCGCAGCCGCCGAGAAAGCCAUUGCACUGGUAAGUGGCGUUGCUCCUCAGUACUAGGACGGCGUCUCUGCCGCUAAUUGGUUUUAGGAGAAUCAUCAUCAUCACUAACCCCACCAACUCACGAAACCCCAUUUUCUUUUUCCUUUGUUUCCCCUCGCCCUGGAAUGGGAAAGCGCGGCCUGCUCACUUUAUAGAGGGUAGAGGAAAGAUUAAUUAAUUAUUGGAGGCUAAUAUAUUUAACAAGUCCUUGAACUUUAUUACUUUAUUUUAAUAAGCCCUCAUACUUUUGUUCCAUCCAAAUAAACCUUUAGAUUUCAAUUAGUACCUAAAUUUAGUCACUUUAUUUAAAUAGGCUUUUAUACUUUC